This 982-nucleotide unclassified non-coding RNA is filed under the name Hevea brasiliensis (rubber tree). The record is from RNAcentral. Lineage: Eukaryota; Viridiplantae; Streptophyta; Magnoliopsida; Malpighiales; Euphorbiaceae.
UAACUCAAGAGAGGAGUAAAAGAUCUAUAAAAAGUUAGAAAAGUUUAUAUGGGAAAUUUGAGAGAAAAUGAGAGACAACAUCUAAAAGCACUCAAGACUAAUAAAAAACGAUGAGAAAUAGUUGUUAACCCCCAUUUGACUUAAAAUAAUGAGAUAAUGGACCAUUACCGUUACUUAACGGUAAAUAACGGUAUUACCAUUAAGUAAUGGGUGUAAGGGCCGUUAUAGGAGCGAAUUUUCUUAUGCCUUUAAAUAAUGAUGCCACAGUUAAUUGGAGGGCAAAAAAACAUGUAAAUAUCGGAUGUUAUGUAACAUAAUGGCCUUUAUUUUAAAACCAUGGUCUUCUAUUAUUAAUUGAUAUUAAAAAAAUUUAAUGUUUUCCUCCUUGAUGUUUGUCCCUUAAACAUCAACUUGCCAAUUUAAUCCUUUUGUACUUGCAAGCUUCUUUAGGAAUUGUGUAGGUUUAAGUAUUUUGUUGCAGACUACUAAGCUUAAAUUGAGGAAAGAUGGGAUUCAUGGUAUUGGUAAAAAUGGAAAUCCUGGACUGUGAAGCAGGGAAACUCCAAUCAAUGGGGUUUCCCCAUUUGGCAAACGUUUUCGAGACGAAAAUAGCAAGACGCGCCCAUGACACGUUUUGGGACCGUGUUUGGAAAAAUCAAAAGAUGGAAAAGCAAUUUCGAUAUUUCCAACGGCCGGAGAUGGCUUUUAGCAAAUGGUUAGCGUUUGUUAAUACUCCCUGCAAAAUCCAUCAUGAAGUUGCCUAAAGCCACUGUUAAUCCCAUCUUUUCUCGUGCUUCUGCUUGCUGGAUCGAUCAACUGCUUCACUGGCAUCGUAAAGUGGACUGAGUCUCAUCGGUGAUGUUCAGGUAGAGGAGUUGACAAGGAGAGGAAGACAUGGGAGAGAAAAGGGUGGUUCUAUGUACUUUUUUGAAUUUUUAUUGGUCCUUAGUUUGUUUCUUUUUUAAUUUCUUUUCUUUUCUUA